UGGGGAGUAACUUAAUGAGGCAAGAGUGAUGGCGUCCAAAGCCAUUGGAGUAGGUUCGAGUCCUGUCUUCCCAGCCC
Molecule: transfer RNA, 77 nt
Filed under: Pseudomonas syringae pv. syringae
Lineage: Bacteria; Pseudomonadati; Pseudomonadota; Gammaproteobacteria; Pseudomonadales; Pseudomonadaceae
Description: tRNA-Trp
Rfam family: tRNA
About the family: Transfer RNA (tRNA) molecules are approximately 80 nucleotides in length. Their secondary structure includes four short double-helical elements and three loops (D, anti-codon, and T loops).
Source: RNAcentral